UUAUAUGAAAAAGAAAGCAUAGAGCACAAGAAGUAAAUAAAAGAUAAAUAGAAUAUGAUCUUUAAUUUGAUUGAGAUGUGAGCUGAACCCAACAAAACUCUUCUUCAUAUGCCAGACUUCCAUCACAAGAAGCUUCACAUGUAUACACCGCAAUUGUUGCCCAAUCAAGUGAGUUGGAUUCAUUCUUAACAUCAAAGUAGUAAAGCAACUGUGGCAAAAUCUGCACAACUCAUGGUCGUUAAUACGGAAUCUUCAAUACAAUGAUGUGAGCAAAAUGGUAGGGGCUGGCCAGAGGGUUAAAAUGGGACCAUGAACAGGUCAAAAUAGCCAGGUCCGGAGAGGUUGACCUGUAACUGAAUUCGAUGGCUGAAGCAUGAGGUUGAUGAUGGCAACCUAGGAAGAAAACAUAAGUACACAUUGAUGGUGACGCGUUGUUUGCUGCUCGACAAAGUUUAUGUCC
Molecule: long non-coding RNA, 460 nt
Filed under: Helianthus annuus (common sunflower)
Lineage: Eukaryota; Viridiplantae; Streptophyta; Magnoliopsida; Asterales; Asteraceae
Description: hypothetical non coding rna
Source: RNAcentral